RNAcentral lists this ribosomal RNA (403 nucleotides) under uncultured bacterium. Its description in RNAcentral is "partial 16S ribosomal RNA". It matches the Rfam family "Bacterial small subunit ribosomal RNA", at positions 30 to 526 of the family's 1533-position model. The record is from RNAcentral.
AUCGAACGCUGGCGGCAGGCCUAAUACAUGCAAGUCGAGCGAGCGGCGGACGUGUGAGCAAUGUAGGGGGAUUGCCCGAGAGAGGGGGAUAACUACUGGAAACGGUGGCUAAUACCGCAUAUUAUCGGAUAACCCAUAUGGGAUAAGCUAGUAGGUGGGGUAAAGGCUCACCUAGGCGACGAUCUCUAGAUGGUCUGAGAGGAUGAUCAGCCACACUGGGACUGAGACACGGCCCAGACUCCUACGGAGGCAGCAGUGGGGAAUAUUGCACAAUGGACGAAAGCCUGAUGCAGCCAUGCCGCGUGUAUGAAGAAGGCCUUAGGGUUGUAAAGUACUUUCGGCGGGGAGGCGUUACCCACAGAGAAAGCACCGGCUAACUACGUGCCAGCAGCCGCGGUAAUUC